UGCCUAAAGCAAGGGGCGAUGCCCAUGCUCCAUUUUUGAAUUUUUCCGAAAAUAGGGCCCCGAGUGGGCCCACCGUGUCCCGGGAAAUUUUCCGACAUCCGGGACGGGGCGGAGGGGCUGGGGUGUUUGCGGGCCAAUUCCGUGGAUACCGAUGCCUAUCUUGCAGCCCAGACAUGCCCCCGUGCCCAGGCUCCCCAGCCCCCCCAGGGGGGUGAGGCAUACUGCAC
This 227-nucleotide long non-coding RNA is filed under the name Ricinus communis (castor bean). RNAcentral describes it as "long non-coding RNA (RCOM_LNC003752)". Lineage: Eukaryota; Viridiplantae; Streptophyta; Magnoliopsida; Malpighiales; Euphorbiaceae. The record is from RNAcentral.